This 918-nucleotide ribosomal RNA is filed under the name uncultured Bacillota bacterium. RNAcentral's name for it is "bacterial SSU rRNA". It matches the Rfam family "Bacterial small subunit ribosomal RNA", at positions 1 to 916 of the family's 1533-position model. The record is from RNAcentral. Lineage: Bacteria; Bacillati; Bacillota.
GGAUCCAGACUUUGAUUAUGGCUCAGGAUGAACGCUAGCGGCAGGCUUAACACAUGCAAGUCGAGGGGCAGCGCGGGGCGGCAACGUCCUGGCGGCGACCGGCGGAAGGGUGCGUAACGCGUGAGCGACAUGCCCGUUGCCCGGGGACAACCGGUGGAAACGCCGACUAAUCCCCGAUGGGACGGAGGCCCUCAUGGGUCUCUGUUGAAAGUUACGGCGGCGACGGAUUGGCUUGCGUCCGAUUAGCUUGUUGGCGGGGUAACGGCCCACCAAGGCUACGAUCGGUAGGGGUUCUGAGAGGAAGGUCCCCCACAAUGGAACUGAGACACGGUCCAUACUCCUACGGGAGGCAGCAGUGAGGAAUAUUGGUCAAUGGGCGGAAGCCUGAACCAGCCAUGCCGCGUGCGGGAAGGAGGCCCUAUGGGCUGUGAACCGCUUUUGCCUGGGGGCAAUAAGGGCGUCGCGCACGUCCGAUGAGAGUACCAGGGGAAUAAGCAUCGGCUAACUCCGUGCCAGCAGCCGCGGUAAUACGGGGGAUGCGAGCGUUAUCCGGAUUCAUUGGGUUUAAAGGGUGCGUAGGCUGUGCGUCAAGUCAGGGGUGAAAUUCCGGGGCUCAACUCCGGGGCUGCCCUUGAUACUGUCGCGCUGGAGUGCGGAUGCCGCCGGAGGAAUGAGUGGUGUAGCGGUGAAAUGCUUAGAUAUCACUCAGAACACCGAUUGCGAAGGCAUCUGGCGAAUCCGUAACUGACGCUGAGGCACGAAAGCGUGGGGAUAGAACAGGAUUAGAUACCCUGGUAUUCCACGCCGUAAACGAUGAUGGCUAACCGCCGGCGACAUACUGUCGGUGGCCAAGCGAAAGCGAUAAGCCAUCCACCUGGGGAGUACGUCGGCAACGAUGCAACUCAAAGGAAUUGACGG